Molecule: ribosomal RNA, 468 nt
Filed under: uncultured bacterium
Lineage: Bacteria
Description: partial 16S ribosomal RNA
Rfam family: Bacterial small subunit ribosomal RNA
Source: RNAcentral
GACGAACGCUGGCGGCGUGCUUAACACAUGCAAGUCGAACGGAAAGGCCCUGCUUUUGUGGGGUGCUCGAGUGGCGAACGGGUGAGUAACACGUGAGUAACCUGCCCUUGACUUUGGGAUAACUUCAGGAAACUGGGGCUAAUACCGGAUAGGAGCUCCUGCUGCAUGGUGGGGGUUGGAAAGUUUCGGCGGUUGGGGAUGGACUCGCGGCUUAUCAGCUUGUCGGUGGGGUAGUGGCUUACCAAGGCUUUGACGGGUAGCCGGCCUGAGAGGGUGACCGGCCACAUUGGGACUGAGAUACGGCCCAGACUCCUACGGGAGGCAGCAGUGGGGAAUAUUGCGCAAUGGGCGGAAGCCUGAUGCAGCAACGCCGCGUGCGGGAUGACGGCCUUCGGGUUGUAAACCGCUUUCGCCUGUGACGAAGCGUGAGUGACGGUAAUGGGUAAAGAAGCACCGGCUAACUACGUG